RNAcentral lists this ribosomal RNA (253 nucleotides) under uncultured bacterium. Its description in RNAcentral is "partial 16S ribosomal RNA". It matches the Rfam family "Bacterial small subunit ribosomal RNA", at positions 524 to 776 of the family's 1533-position model. The record is from RNAcentral.
UACGUAGGGGGCAAGCGUUGUCCGGAAUCAUUGGGCGUAAAGAGCGCGUAGGCGGUCCGGUAAGUCCGCUGUGAAAGUCGAGGGCUCAACCCUCGAAUGCCGGCGGAUACUGUCGGGCUAGAGUCCGGAAGAGGCGAGUGGAAUUCCUGGUGUAGCGGUGAAAUGCGCAGAUAUCAGGAGGAACACCUACGGCGAAGGCAGCUCGCUGGGACGGUACUGACGCUGAGACGCGAAAGCGUGGGGAGCAAACAGG